Molecule: ribosomal RNA, 250 nt
Filed under: uncultured Actinomycetes bacterium
Lineage: Bacteria; Bacillati; Actinomycetota; Actinomycetes
Description: uncultured actinobacterium partial 16S ribosomal RNA
Rfam family: Bacterial small subunit ribosomal RNA
Source: RNAcentral
UACGUAGGGCGCAAGCGUUGUCCGGAAUUAUUGGGCGUAAAGAGCUCGUAGGCGGUUUGUCGCGUCUGGUGUGAAAACUCGAGGCUCAACCUCGAGCUUGCAUCGGGUACGGGCAGACUAGAGUGCGGUAGGGGAGACUGGAAUUCCUGGUGUAGCGGUGGAAUGCGCAGAUAUCAGGAGGAACACCGAUGGCGAAGGCAGGUCUCUGGGCCGCAACUGACGCUGAGGAGCGAAAGCAUGGGGAGCGAAC